Long non-coding RNA from Drosophila subpulchrella, 4141 nucleotides. RefSeq lists it as uncharacterized. The record is from RefSeq and is a predicted model, not a curated record. The transcript is spliced from 2 exons. NCBI's taxonomy places the organism in Eukaryota, Metazoa, Arthropoda, Insecta, Diptera, Drosophilidae.
GAGGGAACACGCGGAACAUUAAAAGAGAAGGAAUAAAAUCAUUAAAUUAAAAAGCAUCAUUUACAAUUCAGGUGUGGAGUGAUUGCCCAGCUUUCACAUAUAGUACCCAUGUAGUAUUCUGAUAUAUUGAUGCAAUCAAAGGAAGAGUUAUUACAGUUAUUGAGAGCCAACGAAGUGCAUACACCAAUUGCGCAUUGCGGGAAAAACUUUGUUCAUAAUGAGCGACGAGCAUGAGGCUGGCCCGGAUGACGAAAAUGGUCAGGCAGCUGCAAACAACAUUGUGUUGCAAGAUCAGGCUGUUGGCGGCUGCAUAGUUUCGCGGCACCAGACAAGCAAAAUCGUGUCUCAAGAUCAAGCUGCGGGAGGCGACACAGACUUACAUGACAAGAUAUCCCAUGCAGAACCUCUUGUGCAGCACGUUGCUCAGAUUGGACUGGAUCGAGAGGAUCUGGCUGAUGUUUGUCAAGGAGAAGCGGGACUUCAAACAACGCUACGCGACAUGGAACGGAACCAAGUUGGUACAAAAAUGGGUUUCACGGGUUGAAAUCGCGGAUAUAAUGGCGGUAGUGGAGCUCUUUUCGAGAGAGGAUGGCAUUACUAUCAAAUUAUGGUUUGAAGAGUUUGAAACUGCAUGUGCAGUGUUGGGAGUACCACUCAAUCGCUAUUGGUUAUAUGCGAGGCGUCUUCUUAUUGGACCAGCAACGAGUUACUUCGCAUAUCAAGGUGCUGCUGAUUGGGAUGCCUUGCGAACUCAGAUGAUGGAUGUUUUUGGACGUAAGAACACAAAACUGGAGAUAUGUGAGCAGCUCAAACGCCGUAAGUAAAAAAGUAAUGAAACUGCAUUUCAAUACUUUACAUCCAUGUGCAGUAUUGCACGCCAAGCUGAAUUGGAAGAUCGUGAUUUAAUUAAGCACGUUGUUGGCGGAUUAAACGACACGAGUGGUAUUACUGCGUCACUUUAUUUUUCGCCGUUUGAUAGAGUAUGAUCAAAUCCGUUUAUCACUGCCAAAUUCUUACGCUGAUCGUGGUACCUCGAGCGUUCAUGAUAUAAAAUGCUACAAUUGUCGUCGGCCGGGACAUAUGAUAAAGGAUUGCAACAAGCCCAUACGUUCACCGAAUAGUUGCUUUACUUGGGGAGGCGUGGAUCAUCAAUUCCGUAGCUGCCCGAAGCGUGUGACUGGAAGACUGCAGCAGACAGUGGCAUGUGUGGAAGAUUAACAAGCUGUUGCUAACAUAAUUGGUAAACAUUUACCCGGAUAGCUUCGGAAGCAAAAAAAAAAUUUGCCAAAAGAUGAUACGUUGGCGAACCCAUUUGAGAGUAAGUACCGUGGAAUUUAUGGAAGAAAUAUUAUGCUAUGCGGCGCAGUUAAAUGCUAUAUUAAGUUUAAUUUGAAAGUUUAUGAUAUUGAAGUUUUGGUUGUUCACGAUGAUGUAUUACCUGUUGCUAUGAUUCUUGGCAGAAACGCUAUUGACGCUUUAAAAUUACAAUUAAUCCAAAGAAAUUCAGACUGGGAAAAUGUCAGUAUUUGAUAAUAAUAAAUUUGAUUUUACUACUUCUUGUGCAUCUCUGUUUUAUAACACAAUAGACAAUAAGAUAAAUAUUGACAUAAAGGAAGGUCAAUACCCAAAUUCAGCAGUGGAUGAAUGACAUGGAUUAUUUGUGUGCAGGUGUUACAACACAGUUGAAUACAAAUCUAGAUAUCGGUAGCGAAUUUGGGUUUGGGAAUAGAGAAAAAUGCUGUAAGUUUAUCUGUGAAUGUUAUUUAAAUAUUUUAAGUACGAAAUUAGCUGAACCUGUUUGCAAGAUGAGUAUAAAACUAAUAAUGGUAUAAUUGCUGGAACGAUUAGCAAAAUUUCGUUUAGAAAUCAAUUUUAAGAAGACCUUAUUUUUAAGAAAAGUAAUAUAUUAUUUAGGGUACUUUGUUAGCAAUUAAGGGAUUUUGCCUAAUGAUUCGCAUAUAGAAGUUAUAAAAACUUAUUCUGUUCCGAAUAAUACAAAACAACUUCACUCUCGUUUAGGUAUGUUCUCAUAUUUUUGUAGAUUUGUUCCGUCUUAUGCAAGUAUAGCCCGACCAUUAGUUGAACUAUUAAAGAAAGGAGGACCGUUCCCGAUGGAUGAAGAACAAAUUUAAGGACUUAAGAAAUCGUUUAUCAACUCCGCAAAUACUUUCAAUAUUUAACCCUAAUCGUGAAACGGAUUUACAUACUGACGCCAGUUCUCGAGGUUUUGGAGCAGUUUUAUUGCAGAGACAGAACGAUGGCAAAAUGCAUCGUCAGAAAAGUCAGAAUUAGUAGAAUCGUCAGAAUUAGUAGAAUCGUCAGAAUUAGUAGAAUCGUCAGAUUCGUCAGAAUUAAUAGAAUCGUCAGAGUCGUCAGAAUUAGUAGAAUCGUCAGAGUCGUCAGAAUUAGUAGAAUCGUCAGAUUCGUCAGAAUUAAUAGAAUCGUCAGAGUCGUCAGAAUUAGUAGAAUCGUCACAGUCAGAAUUAGUAAAACCGUCAGAAAAGUCAGAAUUAGUAGAAUCGUCAGAAUUGUCAGAAAGGUCAGAAUUAUUAGAGUCGUCAGAGUUGUCAGAAAAGUCAGAAUUAGUAGAAUUGUCAGAGUCAUCAGAAGUAGCAGAGUAAGGCUUUAGAAAAUUCAAGGCUUGUGGAAUUUGGAAAUUGGUUAAUUUAGUUGGCACGGUGGGAGCUAUGCCAGAUGACUUUCUAUUGCAAACGGAGCAAAUGAGGAAUUAAGUUAGAAGUAAAAUACGAGACGAGUUAGCAGAAGGACCAGUGAAAAGUUUUGUUUUGAUAGAUGGUGUUGUGUAUCACGAAGGUACGAACCAGAAUACGACUUUGUAUGUUCCAUCAAGUAUUCGAGAUGAUUUAAUUAAGUUGUCCCAUGAAAAACUAGGUCAUUUAGCUGCAGAUAAGUGCUACAAUAAUAUGAAGUCUAGGUAUUGGUCUCCUUUAAUAAGAACGAAAAUAUAUGAGUUGAUUCGAAAUUGUUUGAAGUGCAUUUUACAUUCUGUUCCAAAGUCAGAUAACAAUAGAAUUUUACACAGUAUACUCAAAGUGCCGAUUCCAUUUGAUACGACUCGCAUAGAUCAUUUAGGGCCCUUGCCGUGUAUAAAUUCAACAAGGAAACAUUUAUUAGUAGUAAUUGACUCAUUUACAAAGUUUGUGAAGUUAUUCGCUGUAAAUUCUACAAGUACACGUGAAGUAAUUGCGAGUUUAAGUAAAGAUUUCGAAUUUUAUAGUAGGCCACGCAGAAUUAUUUCGUAACGUAAUAUUGGUCAUAUAAAAGUGGCGACAUGUGCUCCCCAAGCAAACAGAAAGGUUGAGAGAGUAAAUCGAGUGCUGACACCGAUGUUAGGAAAAUUGUCUAGUCCAAUUAAUCAAGCUGAUUGGUAUGAACUUAUAAAUAAGGUUGAACACGCGAUCAACAAUUCAGUCCAUUCUAGAACAUUAAAAAAACCAAGCAUGAUCCUUAUGGAGUAGAUCAAAAAGGUCCGAUAGUUGAUGAAUUAUAUGAGUAUUUAGAUGAUAAUUUAAAUAAAGAUAAAAAGAUAGAUUUAAAAGAUAUAAGGGAUAAAGCAAAUUUAAAGAUUGUAGAGUCUCAGAAAAGAAAUGAAAUUAUUAAAGCAGCUUAACAGAAAGCGCCAUCGGAAUUUAGCGUUGGAGAUUUUGUGGCAAUAAGAAAUAUAGACCUAACACCUGGCACUUGUAAAAAAUUUGCGCCUAAAUAUAGAGGUCCAUAUAAAAUAAAUAGAGUUUUUGACAACGAUAGGUAUGAAGUAACAGAUAUAGAUAACUGACCGAGUUUAAACAUAUGUGAAUAUAUACUAAAUAGUAUUAAGUGUGAGCAUUGUAAACAUAUGUCAAUAUAUACUAAAUAGUAUUAAGUGUGAACAUUGUAAACAUAUGUAUGUGAAUAUAUACUAAUUAGUAUUAUGUGUGAACAUAAUGUUAUGUAUUGCAUUGUAUUUUAGUGUGUACUUUCUAUAGUGUAACUUUAUAUUAAGCAUCGAUAAGACAACAUAUAUCGAUUACAUGGUGAACUCAAUUGUCGAUAAAAAUAAGACACUUGUAAUUGAGGGAGAAGAGAGAACACGCGGAAUAUUAAAAGAGAAUGAAUAAAAUCAUUAAAUUAAUAAGCAUCA